RNAcentral lists this ribosomal RNA (446 nucleotides) under uncultured bacterium. RNAcentral describes it as "partial 16S ribosomal RNA". It matches the Rfam family "Bacterial small subunit ribosomal RNA", at positions 338 to 795 of the family's 1533-position model. The record is from RNAcentral.
CCUACGGGGGGCAGCAGUAGGGAAUUUUCGGCAAUGGGGGGAACCCUGACCGAGCAACGCCGCGUGAACGAAGAAGUUAUUCGUAAUGUAAAGUUCUUUUAACAGGGAAGAAAGAGAAAUUUGACGGUACCUGAAGAAUAAGCUCCGGCAAACUACGUGCCAGCAGCCGCGGUAAUACGUAGGGAGCGAGGGUUAUCGGGAAUUAUGGGGCGAAAAGGGUGCGUAGAUGGCAUAGUAAGUCUUUUGUAAAAAUGCUGGGCUCAACCCAGUAGGGCAAAAGAUACUGCAAAGCUAGAGUAUGACAGAGGCAAGUGGAACUACAUGUGUAGCGGUAAAAUGCGUAAAUAUAUGUAAGAACACCAGUGGCGAAGGCGGCUUGCUGGGUCGAUACUGACAUUGAGGCACGAAAGCGUGGGGAGCAAACAGGAUUAGAUACCCGAGUAGUC